UACGAAGGAUCCUAGCGUUGUCCGGAUUUACUGGGCUUAAAGGGAGCGUAGGCGGACUUUUAAGUCAGUGGUGAAAGCUUGCAGCUUAACUGUAAAAUUGCCAUUGAAACUGAAAGUCUCGAGUGCGGUUGAGGUCACUGGAAUGUAUCAUGUAGCGGUGAAAUGCUUAGAUAUGAUACAGAACACCGAUUGCGAAGGCAGGUGACUAAGCCGUAACUGACGCUGAGGCUCGAAAGCGUGGGGAGCGAACAGG
RNAcentral lists this ribosomal RNA (253 nucleotides) under uncultured bacterium. RNAcentral describes it as "partial 16S ribosomal RNA". It matches the Rfam family "Bacterial small subunit ribosomal RNA", at positions 524 to 776 of the family's 1533-position model. The record is from RNAcentral.